GACGAACGCUGGCGGCGUGCUUAACACAUGCAAGUCGAGCGAGAACCACAGGAGGGGUAACCCUUCUGUGGGGAGAGCGGCGAACGGGUGAGUAACACGUGGGCAACCUGCCCCAGACUCUGGGAUAACUCCGGGAAACCGGGGCUAAUACCGGAUACUCUCGAUCCGCCACAUGGCGGUUCGAGGAAAGUUUUUCGGUCUGGGAUGGGCUCGCGGCCUAUCAGCUUGUUGGUGAGGUAAGGGCUUACCAAGGCGACGACGGGUAGCCGGCCUGAGAGGGCGACCGGCCACGCUGGGACUGAGACACGGCCCAGACUCCUACGGGAGGCAGCAGUGGGGAAUAUUGCACAAUGGGCGCAAGCCUGAUGCAGCGACGCCGCGUGAGGGAUGACGGCCUUCGGGUUGUAAACCUCUUUCAGCAGGGAAGAAGCGCAAGUAACGGUACCUGCAGAAGAAGCACCGGCUAACUACGUGCCAGCCGCCGCAGUAA
Molecule: ribosomal RNA, 490 nt
Filed under: uncultured bacterium
Lineage: Bacteria
Description: partial 16S ribosomal RNA
Rfam family: Bacterial small subunit ribosomal RNA
Source: RNAcentral